GGGAUUGCCCUAGUAACGGCGAGUGAAGCGGCAAUAGCUCAAAUUUGAAAUCUGGCUCCUUUUAGGGGUCCGAGUUGUAAUUUGCAGAGGGUGCUUUGGAGUAGGCAGCGGUCUAAGUUCCUUGGAACAGGACAUCGCAGAGGGUGAGAAUCCCGUUUGUGGUCGCAUGCCUUCGCCGUGUAAAGCCCCUUCGACGAGUCGAGUUGUUUGGGAAUGCAGCUCUAAAUGGGAGGUAAAUUUCUUCUAAAGCUAAAUACUGGCCAGAGACCGAUAGCGCACAAGUAGAGUGAUCGAAAGAUGAAAAGCACUUUGGAAAGAGAGUCAAACAGCACGUGAAAUUGUUAAAAGGGAAGCGCUUGCAGCCAGACUUGCCCGUAGUUGCUCACCUUGGCUUUUGCCUUGGGCAUUCUUCUGCGGGCAGGCCAGCAUCAGUUUGGGCGGUCGGAUAAAGGUCUCUGUCAUGUAGCUCUCUUCGGGGAGAACUUAUAGGGGAGGCGAAAUGCGACCAGCCCGGACUGAGGUCCGCGCUUCGGCUAGGAUGCUGGCGUAAUGGCUGUAAGCGGCCCGUCUUGAAACACGGACCAAGGAGUCUAACAUCUAUGCGAGUGUUUGGGUGUCAAGCCCGAGCGCGUAAUGAAAGUGAACGGAGGUGGGAACCCUUUGGGUGCACCAUCGACCGAUCCUGAUGUCUUCGGAUGGAUUUGAGUAAGAGCAUAGCUGUUGGGACCCGAAAGAUGGUGAACUAUGCUUGAAUAGGGUGAAGCCAGAGGAA
RNAcentral lists this ribosomal RNA (772 nucleotides) under Stagonospora sp. CBS 135096. RNAcentral's name for it is "eukaryotic LSU rRNA". It matches the Rfam family "Eukaryotic large subunit ribosomal RNA", at positions 71 to 860 of the family's 3401-position model. The record is from RNAcentral. Lineage: Eukaryota; Fungi; Ascomycota; Dothideomycetes; Pleosporales; Massarinaceae.